CGGGGAGGGGGUAGGAGGGAGAGAGAGAGGGGAAGAGAGUGCUCUCGCUAGGAGAAAGAGAGAGAGAGGCGGGGGGAGGAGAGAGAGAGAGAGAGAGAGAGAGAGAGCGUGCGCUAACCCUUGUUGGUACCUUGAUUUCCUUCCUGGUAUUCCGGCAGGAAAUGACAGAUUCCUUGCUACUUCUCGACACCAUGAGUUUUCAGUGUUUAGAGAAAAUUCUUGUUUCCCUGUGAAUGAUGAGGGAUUGCACGUAUCAGGUCUUGGUCAUUAUGUCUCAACCACAGUAGUAAUCAUGGAAAUUUUGCAGGUGCUCUGUAGAAGUUGUAUUCCUUGAAAAUGGUCUUGACCUUGGAGUACUACAGCUAUUCAAGCAGAGGUAAUGCUUUCAUAAUGAUGGAAAUGACUGAGCUCAUGUAUAGGUGCCCUGCUAGAACAAGCUGUGUCCUUUCACCCAUGUAUCAUACUGUGUUUUCCAGGUUUCCUGUCGAGAUCAUGAUGAACGUCCCGCUAGUGAUUCUCUGGGGACAUUUCUGUUCCCCAGAAAAGUGAUGAUGUUCACCUCCAUUGUUUCAAAUGAUCUCAUCUUCUCAUAUCGAUAUAUGUGUGAUCGAUGGCCUAAACUUACCGUUUGUGUAUGUGUGUGCGCGUGUGUGUUUUAGAUAAUCAGGUAAGAAAUGACAGCAUUUUGUCUACGGCCAUACCACCCUGAACGUGCCCGAUCUCGUCUGAUCUCGGAAGGUAAGCAGGGUCGGGCCUGGUUAGUACUUGGAUGCGAGAAAUGACAGCAUUUUGCCAAUUACUGCUCUCCUGCUAUUCUAGUGUUUCCUAUUUCAGAGAAAGACUAUGUUUACUUCUGUGAGUGAUAGGUGAAUUCUGACGUGAAUAGCCAUAAUCAUGGAGUUGUGUGAUGGGGUAGUACCCUUGGGUUUGUGCAGGUGAGCAGGAGAGUGGUGAAGGUGUGGCUAUCUUUGGCAUAGACCUUGAAGGACUGCAACAAUGCGGGAAGAGCGGAAGGGUCCUGCUGUGAGGGCAAUGAACAAGAUGAUGUGCCGUGGCCUAGUAGGAGUGUCCAUAGACGCAUUGUUCGCAAAGUGGUUUUUAAAUUACCAUCGAGAGGUCAUGGUAAAUUUCAAGAUGGUCAUUGAUUAGACUUUGCAUCUGUUCAAGUAAGUGGUGAUAUGGGCCUUAAGCACCCUACAAAUGGAUUUUCAGAUAUUUAGGUAAGGGUAGAUGGUGUUCCUAACUGUUCUGUUACCACAUGUCUAUGCAGGUGUUCGGUUCAGAAAUGAUACUGUUCCAACCAGUGGUAGUAAGUAUGAGCCGUUAUUUAUUUCUGUUUUUAAAUUGAGAUCUAAUGUGUAUUUAACUUCAGUGGUGAUAACAGAAUAUGCAUUUCCAGGGGACUUUUAGCCAGCAAUAGUGACCAUGAGAUUUCUAGAAGUACUGCUAGAAGAGAUGUUAGUGUGUCUGACAAUGGUGUUGACAUUCAAGUUGGGCCAAAAUCCAUAUCGUGUUAUGUUUUCCCUAAUGAUGGAAUUGACUGAGAUUAUGUGAAAAUAGGCUAUUUAUUUAUUUAUUUAUUUAUUUAUUUAUUUUGACAGGUCAACAAGUUGUAUCCUGCCACAGGCUUGUUGAGUGUUUGUGUCAAGAUUCUAGCAGUCCUGACAUCACAGUGACCCAGAGCGUUGUCAUCAAUGGGAACUUACUGGUAACCAGGUAUGUGAUAAAGUGGUUUAUCACAAUAGACAUAUCUGAUCCUCAACUCUCCAGGUGAGGGAGGUUAGUGUCUCUAGCACAGUGUACCGUGCUUUUUUUGAAAGUUUCCUAUUGACUUCUUUGCUAGUUCUUUACCGUUUCGAGUUGAUGUGAUAGUAAGUCAUUAGGUCCAUUCACUCUGUAAGUGUGGAUGGAUUUCCCAAGUUGUUGUUAGUAUGCUUUUGUUUUUGUUUUUUUUUUUUGACCGGUAUUCGGGUAAGGAAUGACACGGUCCCCACAAAUGGUAGGAUGCAUGCUAGUAAGUAUUUUAAAGUUUAGAUAGAAUGUGUGUUUAGCCCUAGUGGUGACAGAGGGAUACACAGGUGUGCAAGUCCCUUAUCCUAAGGGGCCACAGCACAGUCAUGAACCUGAAAUUUUAUAGGUACUCAGGAGAUGAUGGUUUCUCUAACAGUGGAGUUGAGCUUGAAGUUCUAGUUUGGCCAAGGUCCAAAGUGUUGAUGAUUCCUCUAAUGAUGGCAAUAAGUUACAUGUCAGUUGUGUUUUUUCGGGUUAUGGUAGUCAGUCAUGUUACAGUGAUCCUGGUUAUGCUCUUUAAUGGGACCCUGCAAGUCACCUGGUAUGUGGUAUUGUGGAUGUGACAGUGUAGGUGAGAUCACCUGUUCUUGAGAUGUGUAGGUAAGUGAGGAGGGUGUCCCAAACACUAACCACAGGGUUAACAUGUUCUCUCUGCAGAUAUCUUGUUAAAGUCUUUGUGUUGCACACGUAUGAGAUGAUGUCACAUUAACUCAUUAGACCUCCCUAUUUUCAGAUGUGUAUGUAAUUAGUGAUGUUUUGAAUGCUCUUUCAUUACACAUGCUUUUGGCUUAUAUGCAGUAGUUUAACUUGUAAACACCGUAUUCUUGCAGGAGUCCUGUUAAAACAUGAUGUUCUCUCUGAUAAAAGUGUCAACCCAAAUUAAAGGAAUCACCAAAGUAGAGUUGAUGUGUUCCAUAAUAAUGGAAGUAAAAAGGAAUAUUAGCAGGUGUUCUGGUAGAACAGUUUGUACUUCAACAGACUUUUUCAAUGUGUUUGUUCAGGUUCUUGUCAAGAAAACCAAGUGACCCUCACGGUAUUCACUGAUGGAAGCUUGCUCUUAACCUGGUAUCCCGUUAACGCCUUUGCUACUAUGCAGGUAUUCCUUCAAGAGUGGAAGGUGGCUCCUACUGCGGCUGACCUCAGAGUGUUGCAAGUGUUCAGGUAUUAUUGUUGGGUGCUGAAAUGAUAGAAAUGACCAAGGCAGUUUGGAGGUGUAGAGGUAGAACGAUCCAUGGACCGGACACUUUUUUCACGAUGUGUUUUUCGAGUCAUGUCAAGACCUCACUGUGAGCUUACCAAUGAUAACAUGGGACGUUGCUGUUACCAAGGUAAGUGAUGUGGGCCUAAUCCAUAGCACAGAUCAUCUGAUCUUCACAUACAGACAUAAGAGGUGAUGGGUGUCUCUAAUAUUUCUUUUUAACACACUUCUUAAUAGUAUUCAAAUCAUAGAGGAUAGAUUCCAUCCAAUUCUGGGAACCAUUGUUUUUCACACUUUAUAUUAAAGUGAAAAAUUAUGUUUACCUCUGUGAGUGUUGAGGGAUUGUGUGUAUCCAAACAGUUGUCAUGAUGUUCUGUCCCCAGUAAGUAACCAUGGGAUUUUUAUAAGAUUCCUGUUAUGAAAUGAUGAUGUUAUCUGACCUUGGUGUUGACCUUGAAUUAAUCGAGGGAUCCUUGAUAUGCUCUGUGAUGAUAGAGUGUCCAUGGUUAUUUGCAGAUGUUCUGGCUAAAAAAAAAAAAAAAAAAAAAGUUGUAUCCCUUGAUACAUACUUCAAAAAAUGUUUUUUGGGUUCUUGUCAAGAGACCAUGAUGAACCAGAAGUCAUUAACAGGGGGGACAUUUCUGGUAUGCAGUUAAGAGAGGACAGGCACAUCACAGACCUUCUGAUCUUUGUCCGUCUGGGUGAAUGAUGCUGGAUUGUCGAAACCUGUUUGACUAUGUGAGUUAUUAGCAGGUGUUCAGGUAAACAAGCCAUCAUAAUGUUUUGCUAAUUUUAACAAUCAUUAUCCUGCUGUCCUGUUGUACAGGUAAUAUACGUUUAACUAUGUGAGUGUGGAGUAAUUUCCAUUUUUCUGGGUAAUUCCUGGAUUUCCACCUCACAGUUGUACCCAUGACAAUUUAGAGAUGUGUAGUCAGGAAAUAGUGUGUGUAAAUUUGGCGAACCCUUUCUGUCUGUUUCUCUCUCACACACAGUAAAUAAAGAAAGGGAAAUAAAAGAAAUGACAGAUUCCUUAACCAUUCUAAUAACCAUGAGUUUCUACUUUGCAUAUUUUAGAGAAAAUUUAUGCUUAAUCCUGUAAGUAUCGAGAAAUUGAUCCUGUCUGGGUAAUUGUAUCGUAUACUCACCACAGUAGAAACCAUAGGAUUUUUUCAGGUAUCCGGUCAACUAGUGUUAGUCUCUCCUGAAAACGGUGCGUUGAUCUUGAUUUGGUACAAGUGUGCUGGUGGAAUUCAUGUGUUCCAUAAUAGUGGAAGGGAACAAGUUCACGUGCAGGUGUCUUGAGAGAACGCAUUGUAUCUUAAACACAUUUCUGUGUGUUUCCUCAGGUGCCUGGUAAGAAAACAGGGUGAACUGAAAAUGGUUCACAUACCCUUGCUAGUAAGCAGGUAAGUGUCAAAGUGAAUCCGACUACAAUGAAGGCCAUGUGACCUUGAGUAUCUAGGUAAGCGAGGGUGUUAUCCCUAACAUUGGUGUUAAUGUGGCUUAUUUUUUGAUUUUUGUCGGUAUCAGGUUACUAUCUUUGCUAGUGUGCGGGUAUGAGAUGGUGUGAUAGUAACUGAUUAAAGACCUUUGUUUUCAAGAUUUUAUUUUUAAGUAAUUUCUGCACCCUCCAUGGGGCUCAAACUCACAACUGUAAGAUCCAGAGUCACAUGCUCCACUGACUGAGCCAGGCAGGUACCCCUAAAGACAUUUCUAUAUUCAGGUAUCUACAUAAUUUAUCACUUCAAGUCUCUUCAGUUUACUUUCUUUAUGGGAUGUAAUCAGUUAAGAGUUUACUGUGUCCCUUAUAAUGCUGGUAGCAAUACGAUUACUUUGUGUUCUUGUUUGGAAAUAAGAUCACUUAACAUAGCAGUUACAAAUUUGCAGAUAUCGUGGAAGUUUCUCAUAUUGUCCUUCGCUACUUUAUUGACUAUGGAAUUAGUAUAAGUAAUUUGAAGAGACGAAGGUGCGUCUUCCUAGAGAUUGACCUUGGAGUUCUGCAAGGAUCCAUGGGUCCUGAAAUGAUACAGUGACCAAGGGAAUGUGCAGGUGUAGUGGUAGAAUGAGACGCGCCCAAAAUAUUUUUUGCAACGUUUUUCUUU
Molecule: long non-coding RNA, 5091 nt
Organism: Felis catus (domestic cat)
Lineage: Eukaryota; Metazoa; Chordata; Mammalia; Carnivora; Felidae
Exons: 3
Source: RefSeq, a predicted model, not a curated record